AGAGCUCACGGGGGAUGCCUUGGCGUUAAAGGCCGAUGAAGGGCGUAGUAAGGCUGCGAUAUGCCUCGGCUUGCUGUCUAACAAGCUUAGCCGGGGAUUCCCGAAUGGGGGAACCCACCCCACUUUUGUGGGGUACGCAAUAUGCGAGGUAAGCAGGGGAACUGAAACAUCUAAGUACCCUGAGGAAAGGAAAUCAACGAGACUCCCUUAGUAGUGGCGAGCGAAAAGGGAUCAGCCUAAACCAUGUUCAGUUAUCGCUGAUGUGGGGUUGCAGGGCGUGUUAUUGUGGAGUAAGAAACCGCACUUUUAGCAGAACAGGUUGGAAAACCUGACUAUAUAGGGUGAAAGUCCCGUAUGCGAAAAGGGUGCGGCUCCCAGCGCGUUCCUAAGUACGGCGAGACACGUGAAAUCUUGUCGGAAUCUGGGGAGACCACUCUCCAAGGCUAAGUACCUUUGACGACCGAUAGUGAACAAGUACCGUGAGGGAAAGGUGAAAAGCACCCCGAAAGGGGAGUGAAAUAGUACUGAAACCGUGAGCUUACAAGCCGUAGGAGCCUGUGCGUCAACAGUUGCGUCUUCGCGAUGUUUGGCCGGUCGUUUCGGCGACUGGGUAGACGUCCCGUCGGCGUUGUUGCGUGCUGGUGACUGCGUGCCUAUUGAAGAAUGAGCCAACGAGUUACUUGUCGUGGCAAGGUUAAACAGUUACGCUGUGGAGCCUCAGUGAAAGCGAGCCUGAAUAGGGCGAUUUUAGUCGCGGCGAGUAGACCCGAAACCGUGUGAUCUACCCAUGGCCAGGGUGAAUCGGAAGUAACAUUCCGUGGAAGGCCGAACCCGUUUACGCUGCAAAGUGAUGGGAUGAGCUGUGGGUAGCGGUAAAAUGCCAAACGAACACGGAGAUAGCUGGUUCUCCCCGAAAUGCAUUUAGGUGCAGCGUUGGGGGAUGCUUGACGGAGGUAGAGCACUGGAUAGGCUAGGGGGCGCGAGCUUACCGAACUUAACCAAACUCCGAAUACCGUACAAGUUACCCCGGCAGUGAGACAGCGACGGAUAAGCGCCGUUGUCGAGAGGGAAACAACCCAGACCGCAGGCUAAGGCCCCUAAAUAUGGGCUAAGUGUGAAACGAAGUGGAGUUCCUUAUACAACCAGGAGGUUGGCUUGGAGGCAGCCAUCCUUUAAAGAGUGCGUAAUAGCUCACUGGUCUAGGGGCCCUGCACGGAAAAUAUACGGGGCUAAGCCCGUUGCCGAAGCCGCGGAAUCUUGUAAUAACUGGAUUGGUAGGGGAGCGUCGUUACCACUUUGAAGUCACGCUGUAAGGCGUGGUGGAGCGGUGACGAGUGACUAUGUUGGCAUGAGUAGCGACAACGUCGGUGAGAAUCCGGCGCGCCGAAAGCUUAAGGUUUCCUACGCAACGCUGAUCGACGUAGGGUUAGUCGGUCCUAAGACGUAGCCGAAAGGUGAAGCCGAUGGACAGCUGGUUCAACAUUCCAGCACCAGGCCGGUGUUGUUUGAGCUAGAGGGGGGACGCGGAAAGAUAGACGUGGCAUGCCCAUUUGGACAUGGUGUGUUGCCGCAUGUAGGGGAGACACGGGAGUUAAAAUGCCUGUGUCGUUAACACCCGAGGUGCGUUGGAACCGUGAGGUUAGCCUUGCGGAACUGCGUUGAUUCUAAACCGCCAAGAAAAGCCCCGCUAGUGAGACUCCGAUCUGACCGUACCGCAAACCGACACAGGUAAGCAGGGGUCAAUGCCCCAAGGCGAACGAGAGAACCAUCGUUAAGGAACUCGGCAAAUUAACCCCGUAACUUCGGGAUAAGGGGUGUCUUGGACGUCCAAGGCCUUGCGCUGGACGGCGUCUGAGACCGCAGAUAACAGGCUCGAGCGACUGUUUACCAAAAACAUAGGUCCGUGCUAAAGCUAAAGCUGAUGUAUACGGGCUGACGCCUGCCCAGUGCCGGUAGGUUAAGGAAGCGGGUUCACGCCUGCGACUUAAGCCCCGGUGAACGGCGGCCGUAACAAUAACGGUCCUAAGGUAGCGAAAUUCCUUGUCACUUAAUUGGUGACCUGCACGAAAGGUGUAACGAUCUCCACGCUGUCUCAACAAUGGACUCGGUGAAAUUAUGGUGGGAGUGAGAACGCUCUCUACCCGCAGCAAGACGAAAAGACCCCGUGGAGCUUUACUAUAGCUUCGUAUUGAGUUUUGAUUAAUCAUGUGUAGGAUAGGUGGGAGACUUUGA
This 2232-nucleotide ribosomal RNA is filed under the name Mimachlamys varia. Its description in RNAcentral is "bacterial LSU rRNA". It matches the Rfam family "Bacterial large subunit ribosomal RNA", at positions 14 to 2160 of the family's 2925-position model. The record is from RNAcentral. Lineage: Eukaryota; Metazoa; Mollusca; Bivalvia; Pectinida; Pectinidae.